Amborella trichopoda is the source of this 2013-nucleotide RNA transcript. It is a transcript of the gene named UDP-glycosyltransferase 88F5, with no coding region annotated. The record is from RefSeq and is a predicted model, not a curated record. Lineage: Eukaryota; Viridiplantae; Streptophyta; Magnoliopsida; Amborellales; Amborellaceae.
AAAUGUCAAUUCCACAAAUUUUGGUGGAAUUGAGAUUUCUAAAAUUUAUGCUUAAAAUGAGUAUUCCGAAUCCCAUGGAAAUCUCAAUUCCAACAUAAAUGCCAAUUCUAAACGAACCAAACACUAUUGGCCUAAAUUUUCCAAGAAAAGUAACUCCUACAAAUCUGAAUCCAAGGAACCAAACGAGCCCUAAUGUCAAAUUUCUUCCUAUAAUAGAAUCAUUUCGGAUUUUAAGUAAUUAUUUCAAGUUCUUAUGUAAUUUACUCAUUUAAAAAAAAAAGAGUUAAAGCGGUUUCUUUCGAACAUGAUUUUUUGUUUUUUUAGUUGCUUGAUUGGCAAGUGUGUUAGGUCCAAUCAAGGUGAUCAGUUUGAAAAAUCAAGUGAUUGUCAUGUAUUCUGCUUUGUAUAUGAAGCAAGCAAAAAAACAGGAAGUCAAUCUGGUCUGGCUCUUGGGUAGAGUGAGGGAGGGCAUGGCAUCAAGAGAGAUGAAGGAUAGGGUGGUGGUUCUUUACCCAUCUCCGGCCAUCCGCCACCUUCUGUCCAUGGUGGAGCUGGCGAAGCUCAUUCUUCAUCACUCCCCCAAGCUCUACAUCACCAUUCUCAAUGUCAAUCCUCCGUUUGAUGUAGGCAAUACUGCCCCUUACAUCGGUCGAAUCUCCUCUGAAUUCCCGGCCAUCGCUUUCCUCGAGCUCGAGCCCCCUGAGUUUUCUGUCGAUGAUUCUGCCCACCUAGAGACUCUCAUCUUCGAAUACAUCCAUCUCGCUAAUAAUCCUAGGGUCUCUGAAGCCCUCAAGUCCAUAACUGAGCACUCUACUGUCGUGGCUUUCGUCAUGGACCUUUUCUGUGCCACCGCUCUCGACAGAGCCAAAGACAUGCACAUCCCCACCUACCUCUUUUUCACAUCCAGUGCUGCCGAUCUCGUCGUCUUCCUCUACCUUCCCAUCCUCCACUUCCAAAUUCCCAUCAGAUUCCGUGACCAGAAGGAGCUCCUUCAAGUCCCAGGCCUCUCCCCUGUCAAGAAUGCCUGUGACCUUGCUCGACCGCCACGAUAAAGCGUAUGACUGGUUCAUCAAAUCCUGUCGUCAAUCAACUCUAAUGCAAGGAAUACUGGUAAAUUAUUUUGAUGCACUAGAGCCACCUCGUGUCCUUGAGGCCCUUGCCUCCGGUGAGUGCACACCUGAUGUUCCCACCCCACCAGUCUACUGUCUUGGUCCUCUCCUCCUCACUCCGGCUGGUGGAAAUAGAUACUCCAGCUGCUGUAUGGAGUCGCUGGAUGCACAGCCAGCCGGCAGUGUGGUGUACUUAUGCUUUGGGAGCCAAGGGACCUUCUCAACUGCUCAAAUAAAGGAGAUUGCGACCGGGCUCGAAAACAGCAGGCAGAGGUUCCUUUGGGUAAUACACAGUACUCAGCACAUGCUAGAACCAGACAUUAAUGGGCUCUUACCAGAGGGGUUUUCGGGGCGGACCUCCUGGUUGGGGAUGGUGGUGAAGUCAUGGGCGCCUCAGGUGGCAGUGCUAAACCACGGGGCCGUGGGGCGGUUUGUCACGCACCGCAGGUGGAACUCCAUGCUGGAGAGUGUGUGCGCGGGGGGCAUGGCCCCUCUAUGCAGAGCAACAUUUGAACGCGCUGUUUUUGGUGGAAGAGAUGGGACUGGCAAUGGUGAUGGUGGUAGGGGAAGAUGGCUUUGUCGAUGUAGGUGCAGUGGCUCCAAGCGUGAAGGGGGUGAUGGAAUCAGAAGAGGGGAAGAUGUUAAAGGGACAAGAUGAAGGCCCUCAAGCAGAGCGCUGCCUCAGCUCUGAGUGAGGGCGGUACAUCGCGCCUCAGUUUCGAAACCGUGGUCACAGCAUGGCUCGGAGCAGGAGCAGUGCAGCCUUGAAUAUCGACUGCAAUGAUAAAGUGAACUCCUCUUCUUCAUCGCUCAUCCAAUCACCAUUAUAUUAUCUGGUUGAUUUAUGGCUUUGGAAGCUUAAGAGUACCGUGGCUUAUCCGCUUAAUUUAGAGAAGGGGAAGUA